Zootermopsis nevadensis is the source of this 375-nucleotide long non-coding RNA. RefSeq lists it as uncharacterized. NCBI's taxonomy places the organism in Eukaryota, Metazoa, Arthropoda, Insecta, Blattodea, Termopsidae. The record is from RefSeq and is a predicted model, not a curated record.
GAAUCGCAAUACGUCGCGUUGCACACGCAUACGACGCUGUCGUAUCCGUAGCGUCUGGGAGCACACGGAAGGCCCAAGGCAAUGGCUGAAAACACGCGAGAACAGUAGACCCUGGAAACGUACCUCGGAAGAAGGGUCAACUGUUGCGCAUUUGCUGUGACGUAACCGUGGCGAAUCCGCUUGUAUGGGCGUUGCUGCUGUGGCAUUGUCGGUGUUGAUCUUCGGGUUCUGGUGCCAGAGAAUUAGCGGAAGUGACUCUAGUAUGAGAGGCGUGGAACGUUUGGGUUCUGCUACCAAAGUGUUUGUUAGCUUAAUUACGUAGAUAUGUCAGAGGGUUUGUUCCCUUCUUCCGAAAUAAAUAAAAUAAGAAAUUGA